AUGGAGGAACUUGGGCUGACAGAGGAUAAUCUGCAAGAUGUUGUGAUUGAGGAUGAUGAACUAGCGGCGGAGGCGACCCGCUGGAUGGCAAUCGCUAGGGUUCAUACUGAGAAACCCUACAGCCAAUACUGGUUCUUCAGAAACAUGAAGACCGCGUGGGACUUGGCGAAGGAGGUUAAGAUCCGGCCCCUGGAAGAAAACCUCUACACGAUGCAAUUCGGCUGCCUUGGCGACUGGGAG
RNAcentral lists this ribosomal RNA (240 nucleotides) under Triticum aestivum (bread wheat). RNAcentral describes it as "partial small subunit ribosomal RNA". Lineage: Eukaryota; Viridiplantae; Streptophyta; Magnoliopsida; Poales; Poaceae. The record is from RNAcentral.